CAGCAGCCGCGGUAAUACGUAGGUCCCGAGCGUUGUCCGGAUUUAUUGGGCGUAAAGCGAGCGCAGGCGGUUAGAUAAGUCUGAAGUUAAAGGCUGUGGCUUAACCAUAGUAGGCUUUGGAAGCUGUUUAACUUGAGUGCAAGAGGGGAGAGUGGAAUUCCAUGUGUAGCGGUGAAAUGCGUAGAUAUAUGGAGGAACACCGGUGGCGAAAGCGGCUCUCUGGCUUGUAACUGACGCUGAGGCUCGAAAGCGUGGGGAGCAAACAGGAUUAGAUACCCUGGUAGUCCACGCUGUAAACGAUGAGUGCUAGGUGUUAGACCCUUUCCGGGGUUUAGUGCCGUAGCUAACGCAUUAAGCACUCCGCCUGGGGAGUACGACCGCAAGGUUGAAACUCAAAGGAAUUGACGGGGGCCCGCACAAGCGGUGGAACAUGUGGUUUAAUUCGAUGAUACGCGAGGAACCUUACCCGGGCUUGAAUUGCAGAGGAAGGAUUUAGAGAUAAUGACGCCCUUCGGGGCCUCUGUGAAGGUGCUGCAUGGUUGUCGUCAGCUCGUGCCGUGAGGUGUCGGCUUAAGUGCCAUAACGAGCGCAACCCCUCUCUUCAGUUGCCAUCAGGUAAUGCUGGGCACUCUGGAGACACUGCCACCGUAAGGUGUGAGGAAGGUGGGGAUGACGUCAAAUCAGCACGGCCCUUACGUCCGGGGCUACACACGUGUUACAAUGGCCGGUACAGAGGGACGGUGUAAUGCAAAUUGCAUCCAAUCUUGAAAGCCGGUCCCAGUUCGGACUGGGGUCUGCAACCCGACCCCACGAAGCUGGAUUCGCUAGUAAUCGCGCAUCAGCCAUGGCGCGGUGAAUACGUUCCCGGGCCUUGUACACACCGCCCGUCAAGCCAUGAAAGCCGGGGGUGCCUGAAGUCCGUGACCGCAAGGAUCGGCCUAGGGCAAAACUGGUGAUGGGGCUAAGUCGUAACAAGGUAGCCGUA
Molecule: ribosomal RNA, 985 nt
Filed under: uncultured bacterium
Lineage: Bacteria
Description: bacterial SSU rRNA
Rfam family: Bacterial small subunit ribosomal RNA
Source: RNAcentral